AGCCUACGGGGGGCAGCAGUGAGGAAUAUUGGUCAAUGGGCGCAAGCCUGAACCAGCCAUCCCGCGUGCAGGAAGACGGCCCUAUGGGUUGUAAACUGCUUUUCCAGGGGGAGAAACUUGCGCACGUGUUGCGCAAUUGACGGUACCCUGGGAAUAAGCAUCGGCUAACUCCGUGCCAGCAGCCGCGGUAAUACGGAGGAUGCGAGCGUUAUCCGGAUUCAUUGGGUUUAAAGGGUGCGUAGGCGGACUAUUAAGUCAGUGGUGAAAUCCUGCAGCUUAACUGCAGAACUGCCAUUGAUACUGAUAGCCUUGAGUUUGGUUAAGGUAGGCGGAAUGUGUAAUGUAGCGGUGAAAUGCUUAGAUAUUACACAGAACACCAAUUGCGUAGGCAGCUUACUGAGCCGACACUGACGCUGAGGCACGAAAGCGUGGGGAUCGAACAGGAUUAGAUACCCCAGUAGUC
This 463-nucleotide ribosomal RNA is filed under the name uncultured Bacteroidales bacterium. RNAcentral's name for it is "bacterial SSU rRNA". It matches the Rfam family "Bacterial small subunit ribosomal RNA", at positions 335 to 795 of the family's 1533-position model. The record is from RNAcentral. Lineage: Bacteria; Pseudomonadati; Bacteroidota; Bacteroidia; Bacteroidales.